Molecule: ribosomal RNA, 881 nt
Filed under: Sphaerosporium sp.
Lineage: Eukaryota; Fungi; Ascomycota; Pezizomycetes; Pezizales; Pyronemataceae
Description: partial large subunit ribosomal RNA
Rfam family: Eukaryotic large subunit ribosomal RNA
Source: RNAcentral
GGGAUUGCCUUAGUAACUGCGAGUGAAGCGGCAAAAGCUCAAAUUUGAAAUCUGUCGCCUCCGGCGGCCGAGUUGUAAUUUGGAGGGAUAUCUUCGGGGACGGCGCCGCCCUAAGUUUCUUAGAACAGGACAUCAUAGAGGGUGAGAAUCCCGUGCCUGGGUGGCUGCCCCGUCUCCAUGUGAAGUGUCUCCGACGAGUCGAGUUGUUUGGGAAUGCAGCUCAAAAUGGGUGGUAAAUUUCAUCUAAAGCUAAAUAUUGGCGAGAGACCGAUAGCGCACAAGUAGAGUGAUCGAAAGAUGAAAAGCACUUUGAAAAGAGAGUUAAAAAGUACGUGAAAUUGUUGAAAGGGAAGCGCUUGCGACCAGACUUGAUCUUUGGUGAUCAGCCGGGCUUCUGUCCGGUGCCCUCGCCGCUGAUCAGGCCAGCAUCGGUUCCGGGGGCGGGAUAAAAGGUGGGGGAAUGUGGCUUCCUUCGGGGAGUGUUAUAGCCCCUGUCACAAUGCCGCCACUUGGGACCGAGGACCGCGCUUCGGCUAGGAUGCUGGCGUAAUGGUCUUAAGCGACCCGUCUUGAAACACGGACCAAGGAGUCUAACAUCUAUGCGAGUGUUCGGGUGGAAAACCCUUGCGCGUAAUGAAAGUGAACGUAGGUGUGAACCCGCGAGGGUGCAACAUCGACCGGUCCCGAUGUCUUCGGAAGGAUCUGAGUAAGAGCAUAGCUGUUGGGACCCGAAAGAUGGUGAACUAUGCCUGAAUAGGGUGAAGCCAGAGGAAACUCUGGUGGAGGCUCGCAGCGGUUCUGACGUGCAAAUCGAUCGUCAAAUUUGGGUAUAGGGGCGAAAGACUAAUCGAACCAUCUAGUAGCUGGUUCCUGCCGAGUUU